AAAAAAAAAAAAAAGUGCUGCAGCAAGUUUUUACUAGUUUUAUGAAAUACAGUCCACAUACCAUAAUAUUCAGCCUUUUAAACUGUACAAUUCAGUGUUUCUGUGUGUAUUCACAAGGUGUGGUAUAUUCACCACUAUGUAAUUAUAGAACAUUUUUGUCACCUCCCAAAAGAAAUCUCGUAUCAUUAGUAGUCAUUCCCCAUUUUCCCCUCCCAUCAGCCCCUGGCAAUUACUAAUCUACUUUCUGUUUCUAUAGAUUUGCCCAUUCUGGACAUUUUAUAUAAAUUGGAAUCAUACAACUUGUGACAAUUAGCAUCUGGCUUCUUUCACUUAGUAUAAUGUUUUCAAGACCCAUCUAUGUUGUGAAAUGAAUGCAUAAAUAAAAACAGGCUUAUGUGAUCCUUCUAAGAGAUUAUUUGCAGUUUCAACAUGGCACACUGAGAGGGCCAAGAAGAAAUGUGCAGACGGGAAAAAAACCGUUUUCCCUAAAGGAAGCCUGCUGGACAACAAAGCAGAGUUCAGGUGUCCUGGAAUUUAAAUCCUUGACUUCUCCUGAUGCUGCCUCCCACGUGUUGGCACACAGCGUCCAUCUGCCCCACAUUGCUGAUAUGAAUUUUAAUCACCUGGUUAAGGUAUCAUGGGAUAUCCCCAAGGUAUAUAGUCACUAUUUUUUAUGUGUAAUUAAUAAGUAAUUUGUAUGAAAGAUAUUUUAAGAAUAUCUAAAUAUACUACUUCCUGAACUCCCUCCAUCUCUGCUAGAUUUAGCAUCUGUUGAUAAUUCUUGCCUGGUCAACUUUUAUUAUGAUGGUUGCAAAAUGAUCAUUUUCUAACUCCUUUGCUCCUUCUAGAUUUUCUAGUUGGCAUUUUACUAUAAAGAUGAGCUUUUCCUUUUCUCCCUUUUAUUCAUUUAUGUACUUAUUAUAAUAAUUGUAUUGACUAUGGAUUCUUACAUUAUUCAACAAGAACCUUUGAGUUUUUAGAAGUACUCUUCAAACACAGGGGAAAGAAACUACAGAUCUGGAUUGAGAGACAUUAACUGGGCAAAGUUUAUUCAUGAGGCAAGAGGAAAACUAUUAACUGGGGACUCCACUUGUUUUGGAUGCUUGUGGGCAAGAGAGGUUUAAGGCCUCAGGCACCGCAGUUAGGACAUUAGCCUGCAGCUCUCGUAAUAGACAAUGUGAGUUACAACUACCAAGUUGCAGUGCUGCUCAUCAUCAGACAUGAUAUCACACCAAAAAAAUUCCAUCCAAACAACCCAUCGAUUUCUCCACAACUAGCACACUUGAAUGUUCUGGCAAACUCAAAGGGACAUGAUUUACAAAUAGUAGGUAAUAUUUGGAUCUUUCGACAAGAGCUGAGUUCCA
Molecule: long non-coding RNA, 1364 nt
Filed under: Homo sapiens (human)
Lineage: Eukaryota; Metazoa; Chordata; Mammalia; Primates; Hominidae
Description: HSALNT0010576
Source: RNAcentral